UAUGCAAUGGUGUCCGAGUUUAGAAGC
Molecule: non-coding RNA, 27 nt
Filed under: Mus musculus (house mouse)
Lineage: Eukaryota; Metazoa; Chordata; Mammalia; Rodentia; Muridae
Source: RNAcentral